AUUGAACGCUGGCGGCAUGCCUUACACAUGCAAGUCGAACGGCAGCACGGGUGCUUGCACCUGGUGGCGAGUGGCGAACGGGUGAGUAAUACAUCGGAACAUGUCCUGUAGUGGGGGAUAGCCCGGCGAAAGCCGGAUUAAUACCGCAUACGAUCUACGGAUGACAGCGGGGGACCUUCGGGCCUCGCGCUAUAGGAUUGGCCGAUGGCUGAUUAGCUAGUUGGUGGGGUAAAGGCCUACCAAGGCGACGAUCAGUAGCUGGUCUGAGAGGACGACCAGCCACACUGGGACUGAGACACGGCCCAGACUCCUACGGGAGGCAGCAGUGGGGAAUUUUGGACAAUGGGCGAAAGCCUGAUCCAGCAAUGCCGCGUGUGUGAAGAAGGCCUUCGGGUUGUAAAGCACUUUUGUCCGGAAAGAAAUCCUUGGCCCUAAUACGGUCGGGGGAUGACGGUACCGGAAGAAUAAGCACCGGCUAACUACGUG
RNAcentral lists this ribosomal RNA (486 nucleotides) under uncultured bacterium. RNAcentral's name for it is "partial 16S ribosomal RNA". It matches the Rfam family "Bacterial small subunit ribosomal RNA", at positions 30 to 507 of the family's 1533-position model. The record is from RNAcentral.